Molecule: long non-coding RNA, 516 nt
Organism: Hyla sarda
Lineage: Eukaryota; Metazoa; Chordata; Amphibia; Anura; Hylidae
Exons: 3
Source: RefSeq, a predicted model, not a curated record
UGCAGCAUGAAAACAGAGAGGACGGGGUUACAGAGCCACCUGCAGUGAUUGAAUGACUGCCCAAACACCUCCCAGUGACUCAGAGCAGACGAAGGGAGGAAGAUGAGUCAUGUAGAAUGAGGGCAAGAGAAGGACACGCCCCCUACAGAGCACAGAAUGACAAACCAAGUGAGCAACAGAUAGAAGCUAUGUUCUACAUUUUAUGAUGAUGAAGACAGCUUUGGACGUGAUCUCUACCUUCUCUACCAGUGCUGGUACAAAGAUGGAGGACAUUGUAAUGAAGCAUAGAUGGCAGAUCUAUAGGAAAAAAAAUCACUAGUUCAGGGCUUUAUAAUUAUGGUGAGACCCUCUACGAACAGGACUCCGGUGCAACAGCACAGUUUGCACGUAUGGGUAUUGAACUACGAUGGAGAGUUCCUGUUUGCGGAUAACCUGUUGGUUCCUGAGUCCCCGUUGGGACGAAAUUUAACUUCCGGUCAUCCCUGUUGGAGUGUCAUUGGUGGCGAUGUUCCACAA